GCAGCGGAGGAGCUGUGUCUGGGGGUGCCUGGCGCCCGUUACGAAUGCCAGCCCCGCUCCCACAGCCCCACACGGAGCCCCCCGCGCUCCCUCCGGCCCCGGGGGGGGUGGUUGCCCCAGGCCUGCCAGGGCGAUUCCCUGGUCCUUCACUGAAACGGCAAGAAGCAGAAGAGUUUUUUCCAGCAGCAUGAAUGAAAAAAGGCCCCUUUUUCCCCAGGGCAGCAUUGGAGGAGGCGGCAGCGGGCGCUGGCUCCGGAGGGUGUGGGGAAGCGGCCGCGGUUCGGGGACCUCCCUGGCCAUGCACCAUGGCAGACUGUGCAACCCUGCCUGCAGCCAGCCAUCUCUCAUCCCUGUCUAUGCUGAGUUUGACCAGAGGAGAGGUCAACCAUCCUGGAACCCGCCAGAAACAUGAGAAAACCCGCUGGAAACAGUGAGCUUUGUUGCAGUAUGAAAAUCAGAUGCAAAGCUCGGUGGGUAUUUUUAGCUGUUUAAGGCUGAACAGGUGUUUGAAAGGUCAGAUGCGAGUCAUUGGAAGAAAAAAAUAAAUAUAUAUAGAGAGGGAGAGCACCUAGCAGUGUGGCGUUGUCAACCAACCACGGAGCUCAUUGUUGACUGGUUGCUCAUCAUUCCUGAGGCACGUGGGUGUUAAGGGAUGUGGGAACAUCCCGGAUUGGGUCCUCAACAGUGUGUGCACAAGACAGUCAUGAGUGAGGGGAUGAGCGUAGAAUGGCUUCCUUCCAUUGGCCAUGGGCUCUGUGUCAGUGAGGCCUUUGGGUAGCUUUUUCAUGAGCAAAUUUAUGACUUUUUUUCUUUUUCAAAGAAUAAAGGAAGUUUAUCAUCCUUAAAACAAAAUCACAUGUGGUUUUAAUUAGUUACUGAAGUAAAAAUUUAAGACCACAGAAAGAAAGGGCCUAUCUUUUGAGGAGGACCCAGAUGCUAUAUCUUUGGUGGACCUGAGCCAUGACCACCUUGGACUUGGCCAUGGCCAAUCUGGACAAUGGCCCACCUGAACCUCACUAUGGCCAACCUAGGCCAUGACCAACUUGAGCCAUGAUCACCUUUGCUCUUGGCCAUGGCUGCCAAGCUGGGCCAUGACCACCUGUCAUUUUGCUCAUGGCCAACCUGGGCCAUGACCUCCUUUGACUUGACCAUGGCCAACCUAGACAUGGCCAGGUGCCCAGAGGCGAGAUCUCAUCAGCACUCUGCAUGGCUGCAUGUUGCCAGUGAGGCAGUGUUUCUCUUCCCUGUUGUCUCGCCCAGGUCAUUGAGUUCAUGCAGAUGAUGAGCUCCUUCCAACAUGAGUCACAGCAAAGAUAAAUGGAGAGUAUGAGACGUGACGACUUCCCUGCAUGGGCCAGUGGGCUCCCAAAUGCCAGCAGGACCCAAAUGCCAUGGGUGGAGCAGGGCUGGCAGAUGCCAGAGACUUGGCUGGGCAAUAGAGCCUUUUUUUUUUUUGAGUUAAAGAAGCCCCCAUAAUAGCAUCUGAAACCAAUAAACUUCCCUUUCAGGAACUUCUGUAAUU
Molecule: long non-coding RNA, 1522 nt
Organism: Calidris pugnax (ruff)
Lineage: Eukaryota; Metazoa; Chordata; Aves; Charadriiformes; Scolopacidae
Exons: 4
Source: RefSeq, a predicted model, not a curated record